UUACUAGUGUAUAUGUGUGUAUUAGCCAAGUUUUGAACUUGAAACAAAAUGGUGUUUAGUCAAUACAAGUGACCAUACUUGUAGAAUGUAUUAAGUGUUACAAUCGGCCCCAACAUAGACAUGUAUGUUCGGCCACAUGAAUGAGUACAUAAGUUAUGUGUAUGUUCGGCCAUAGGUAGCCUAUUGAUGGCUUUAGCUUGACUUAGAAAAUUCGGCUAAGGGGAAAUAUUAGCUAGUAUGUUGAAUUCGAUUCGUGAUUUCGUAC
Molecule: long non-coding RNA, 265 nt
Filed under: Gossypium barbadense (sea-island cotton)
Lineage: Eukaryota; Viridiplantae; Streptophyta; Magnoliopsida; Malvales; Malvaceae
Description: long non-coding RNA (GBAR_LNC010508)
Source: RNAcentral